GCUGAUCGCGCAUGACGUAUGAUACGUACACGAUACGAAUGCCGAAUACGAGCACGAAAAGCACAUGCGAGAAUAAUUUGAUAAUCUGUGAUUUGUUUCAUGUUGAAACUGCAAAUUCUGGUGUCCCAACAAUGGUGCAAUUAGAAGCAAAGUGUACAGCGAUCGUCAAAUACAGUCAAACACAGUACACGAGAUUGGCAGCGCUGCAUUACUGGCAAUUAGCCAGCUUAUUAGAGGCGAGGUGGCUGUUUGGUAUGCUACCAUAUCAUCUCGCAACUUGGUUUGUUUAAGUGUGGUGGAGUAAUACCUUCAAAUCUAAUCUAGCUAUCAACAAGAAGCUUUUUUUUAUCAAACCAGUAAGAUUUUUUACCUCCAUUCUCGACUGGUCGUUUUUCUUGCUGCCACCAAAUGUUGGAAUCGAGGAAUUAUUCAAAGUUAAUUAAAAUUUCAUUCUUCUCUAAGUUUGUCUCGCUCAAAAUUAAUAAUUUAGCAGUUCAAUAAAGCAUGCCCAUAAAUGAAAAGUCAACGUCUUAACUUUUUGCCAAAUAAUUAAGACCUACGUAAAUUUAUACGCUAAUUGUUACUCUUGUAGGUACGUUGUAAGUUUUUAUUAGUUAGCAUGAAUCUGGACCUACGUCUGUAUGAAUUGUCGCUAACGGUGGUCCAUAAUAGGAAUAAAUGGACAGAUUUGAUUUGAUAAAAAAACACUAUUGCUAGGAUUAGUUCAUGCAUUUGUUUUGAAAUGUUUUAUUGUUUAGAAUGGAAUAUUGAGAAAUGUGUUCAAUAAUUUUUAAGUUGAUCAAGAUUUACCAAAAAGAAAAGUUUCAUGUUAUUAGUUAUAUUUUAUAUUUUAUAAUUGUCAUUAUUAAUAACCAACUUCCAAAUAUUCUAAACCAAACAAUUAAAAAUUUGUACCACUAAGCAAUUAAAAUAAUUUUUUUUAUAAUAUGAAACCUGAAAUGAACAAUUUUAGGUAUAGCCAAGUUAAUGAAUUAAGUUAUUAUUUGUUGGAACACCAGUUUUUGUGAAAAAAAAAUGUCAGCUAACACAAUUAACAACGAACAAACAGGCUUAUAAAGCAAACUUAUUAGUUGUCCAUUUUCAAUUUUUUCUUGGGUAUUCAAGUUUCUGUUUUAGAAAUUGACCCACUUUAGAUGCUUAAUAAAUUAAGUAGUCAGUAACAUUUAAAUUUUUUCCGUUUUAAAUAAAACUUGAAAACAAAUUUGAGCAUAGAGUAAGCAAGUAAAUUUAUGCAGUUUUUUUUGUGGGAAGUGAAGAGCUAAUAAAAUUAUUUUAAACAAUGGACCAUUUGAACAUAAAUAGUGAAUAUCCAUGUCAAAACUUUAAGUUUCAACUUCAAAUAAAUAUUCUAAUAAUCUCAAUUCUCCGCAUUCACAUAUCUAUUAGUGUCAUAUUCCCUGAAGCGUAUCAUCUUGUACAGGGUUAUUGAUUAAACUUUGGCCACCGCGUUUGUGCAUCUUAGUUGAAAUUUAAAGAAAAAUGAAAUAGAAACUUUGUAGAUAUUAAAGUCUAGAUUAUUUAAAGAUAAUUGAUGCAGGGUGUCUCAAAUUCGAGUGGCAGACCAAACUAACUUACCUUUUUAAGAAGGAAUGCCUCACUUUUUAUUGCAUAUUCGAACCAUUCGCACAAUUCUAGGCCUGUUCGAUAUAAAUCUUCUAUAAUGAUUUUUAACUGUUUUUGAGUUAAUAACCAAUAUUGAUUGCUUGCUAAAUGCAAAACUUGUAGAUACUAACGUCUAGUUUAUUCUAAGAUAAAACCAAUUGAUACAGAAUGUCUCAAAGUGAUAGACCCCAUUUACCUUUUUUUAAAUGGAAUGGAGCACUUUUAUUGCAUAUUCGAACUAUUUGCACAAUUCUAGGCCCACUCGAUACAAAUGCUUUAUAAUAAUUUUUACCUGUUUUUGAGUUAAUAACCAAUAUUGAUUGAACUUAGGCCACCCCGUUUUUGCAUCUAAUUUGAGAUUUAAAGAAAAAUGUUAAAUCUUCAGUCCCCAGCAAAUAGUCUGCGCAUUUACAUUUUCAUACAUUAAGCGUUUCAGUUUGGUCCGGUAAAGAUGUAUUUCCGCUUUAUGGCAAAAAAAUUAUUUGUAAUUGCUCUUCUACUUGACCAUGCGUAAUGAAGAAACAAGCUAUUCGGCAAUAAAAAGACGAUUUGCAUUACAUCCAAUGCUGAAAGAAAGGAAAAGGAAAGGCGAAUACUGGACUCAAUACAAAUAAUUAAUUGAUGACGAUGAAAACUAUUAUGAAUAUUUUAGAAUGAAUAGGAUUAGCUUCGAGUGCAAUUAAUUUUUCUAAAUCCAUUUCAAAUAGUACUAAAUUAAGAUAAAAAAUAAGUUUGUCAAACGACGAUUGGAAAUCAACUAAUCUGAUUCUGAAUCUGACUUUAUUCAUAUUUUGUGGUUGAUUAGUGACCGUGAUGAUAAUCAGCAAUUAAUUUUUCAAUAGUGGGAUUUUCGGUCAACGGAUGGUG
Molecule: long non-coding RNA, 2490 nt
Organism: Dendroctonus ponderosae (mountain pine beetle)
Lineage: Eukaryota; Metazoa; Arthropoda; Insecta; Coleoptera; Curculionidae
Exons: 2
Source: RefSeq, a predicted model, not a curated record